AUUAAAUCAGUUAUCGUUUAUUUGAUAGUACCUUACUACUUGGAUAACCGUGGUAAUUCUAGAGCUAAUACAUGCUGAAAACCCCCACUUCGGGAGGGGUGUAUUUAUUAAAUAAAAAACCAACGCCCUUCGGGGCUUCUUGGUGAUUCAUGAUAACUUCACGGAUCGCAUGGCCUUGCGCCGGCGACGGUUCAUUCAAAUUUCUGCCCUAUCAACUUUCGAUGGUAAGGUAUUGGCUUACCAUGGUUUCAACGGGUAACGGGGAAUUARGGUUCGAUUCCGGAGAGGGAGCCUGASAAACGGCUACCACAUCCAAGGAAGGCAGCAGGCGCGCAAAUUACCCAAUCCCGACACGGGGAGGUAGUGACAAUAAAUACUGAUACAGGGCUCUUUUGGGUCUUGUAAUUGGAAUGAGUACAAUUUAAACCUCUUAACGAGGAACAAUUGGAGGGCAAGUCUGGUGCCAGCAGCCGCGGUAAUUCCAGCUCCAAUAGCGUAUAUUAAAGUUGUUGCAGUUAAAAAGCUCGUAGUUGAAACUUGGGCCUGGCUGGCAGGUCCGCCUCACCGCGUGUACUUGUCCGGCCGGGCCUUUCCUUCUGGAGAACCUCAUGCCCUUCACUGGGUGUGUUGGGGAACCAGGACUUUUACUUUGAAAAAAUUAGAGUGUUCAAAGCAGGCCUUUGCUCGAAUACGUUAGCAUGGAAUAAUAGAAUAGGACGUGCGGUCCUAUUUUGUUGGUUUCUAGGACCGCCGUAAUGAUUAAUAGGGACAGUCGGGGGCAUCAGUAUUCAAUUGUCAGAGGUGAAAUUCUUGGAUUUAUUGAAGACUAACUACUGCGAAAGCAUUUGCCAAGGAUGUUUUCAUUAAUCAGUGAACGAAAGUUAGGGGAUCGAAGACGAUCAGAUACCGUCGUAGUCUUAACCGUAAACUAUGCCGACUAGGGAUCGGGCGAUGUUCUUUUUCUGACUCGCUC
This 973-nucleotide ribosomal RNA is filed under the name Didymella macrostoma. RNAcentral's name for it is "SSU rRNA". The record is from RNAcentral. Lineage: Eukaryota; Fungi; Ascomycota; Dothideomycetes; Pleosporales; Didymellaceae.